RNAcentral lists this ribosomal RNA (922 nucleotides) under Cyphellophora laciniata. RNAcentral's name for it is "eukaryotic LSU rRNA". It matches the Rfam family "Eukaryotic large subunit ribosomal RNA", at positions 1 to 938 of the family's 3401-position model. Lineage: Eukaryota; Fungi; Ascomycota; Eurotiomycetes; Chaetothyriales; Cyphellophoraceae. The record is from RNAcentral.
GUUGACCUCGGAUCAGGUAGGAAUACCCGCUGAACUUAAGCAUAUCAAUAAGCGGAGGAAAAGAAACCAACAGGGAUUGCCUUAGUAACGGCGAGUGAAGCGGCAACAGCUCAAAUUUGAAAUCUGGCCUCUUUGGGGUCCGAGUUGUAAUUUGGAGAGGAUGUUUCGGGUACGGUCCGGGCUUAUAUUUCUUGGAACAGAAUGUCAUAGAGGGUGAGAAUCCCGUCUGGAGCUCGGACACGGCCUAUGUGAAACUCCUUCGACGAGUCGAGUUGUUUGGGAAUGCAGCUCUAAAUGGGUGGUAAAUUUCAUCUAAAGCUAAAUAUUGGCCAGAGACCGAUAGCGCACAAGUAGAGUGAUCGAAAGAUGAAAAGCACUUUGAAAAGAGAGUUAAAAAGUACGUGAAAUUGUUGAAAGGGAAGCGCUGGCAACCAGACUUGCAUGUCGGGGUUCCCCCUUGCUUUUGCCUGGGUUACUCCCCGGCGUUCAGGCCAACAUCGGUUUCGGGGGUUGGUUAAAGGCCCUAGGAAUGUACUUACCCUCCGGGGUAAACUUAUAGCCUAGGGUGUCAUGCGACCUCCCGGGACCGAGGAACGCGCUUCGGCUCGGAUGUUGGCGUAAUGGUUGUCAGCGACCCGUCUUGAAACACGGACCAAGGAGUCUAACAUCUAUGCGAGUGUUAGGGUGUCAAACCCUUACGCGGAAUGAAAGUGAACGGAGGUAGGAAGCCGUUAGGCUGCACUAUCGACCGAUCCUGAAGUUUACGGAUGGAUUUGAGUAAGAGCAUAGCUGUUGGGACCCGAAAGAUGGUGAACUAUGCCUGAAUAGGGUGAAGCCAGAGGAAACUCUGGUGGAGGCUCGCAGCGGUUCUGACGUGCAAAUCGAUCGUCAAAUUUGGGUAUAGGGGCGAAAGACUAAUCGA